UACAUGUGGGGCAAGCGUCGUUCGGAAUUACUGGGCAUAAAGGGUGCGUAGGCGGCUUGUUAAGUCAGGGGUGAAAGUUUUCGGCCCAACCGGAAAAUUGCCUUUGAUACUGGCGAGCUCGAGUGCGUGAGGGGUAACCGGAACGAGUGGUGUAGCGGUGAAAUGCGUAGAUAUCACUCGGAAGGCCAAAGGCGAAGGCAGGUUACUGGUACGCAACUGACGCUGAGGCACGAAAGCGUGGGGAGCAGACAGG
Molecule: ribosomal RNA, 253 nt
Filed under: uncultured bacterium
Lineage: Bacteria
Description: partial 16S ribosomal RNA
Rfam family: Bacterial small subunit ribosomal RNA
Source: RNAcentral